This 506-nucleotide ribosomal RNA is filed under the name uncultured bacterium. RNAcentral describes it as "partial 16S ribosomal RNA". It matches the Rfam family "Bacterial small subunit ribosomal RNA", at positions 30 to 523 of the family's 1533-position model. The record is from RNAcentral.
AUUGAACGCUGGCGGCAUGCCUAACACAUGCGAGUCGAACGGCAGCACGAUCUAGUUUACUAGAUGGGUGGCGAGUGGCGGACGGGUGAGUAAUGCGCAGGAAUAUACCUUAAAGAGGGGGAUAACUUGGGGAAACUCAAGCUAAUACCGCAUAAGCUCUGAGGAGAGAGGCUGGGGACCUUCGGGCCUGGCGCUUUAAGAUUAGCCUGCGUCCGAUUAGCUAGUUGGUAGGGUAAAGGCCUACCAAGGCGACGAUCGGUAGCUGGUCUGAGAGGAUGACCAGCCACACUGGAACUGAGACACGGUCCAGACUCCUACGGGAGGCAGCAGUGGGGAAUAUUGGACAAUGGGGGCAACCCUGAUCCAGCAAUGCCGCGUGUGUGAAGAAGGCCUGAGGGUUGUAAAGCACUUUCAGUGGGGAGGAGGGUUAUUCGGUUAAGAGCUAGAUAAUUGGACGUUACCCACAGAAGAAGCACCGGCUAACUCCGUGCCAGCCGCCGCCGUAA